Molecule: ribosomal RNA, 386 nt
Filed under: uncultured organism
Description: bacterial SSU rRNA
Rfam family: Bacterial small subunit ribosomal RNA
Source: RNAcentral
UGCUUUACACAUGCAAGUCGAGCGGCAGCAUGUCCUUCGGGAUGAUGGCGAGCGGCGAACGGGUGAGUAAUACAUCGGAACGUACCUUUUAGUGGGGGAUAACGCAUCGAAAGAUGUGCUAAUACCGCAUAAUCUCUGAGGAGGAAAGGCGGGGACCUUCGGGCCUGUCGCUGAAAGAUCGGCCGAUGGCUGAUUAGCUAGUUGGAGGGGUAAAAGCCCACCAAGGCGAUGAUCAGUAGCUGUUCUGAGAGGAAGAUCAGCCACACUGGGACUGAGACACGGCCCAGACUCCUACGGGAGGCAGCAGUGGGGAAUUUUGGACAAUGGGGGCAACCCUGAUCCAGCAACGCCGCGUGAAUGAAGAAGGCCUUCGGGUUGUAAAGUUC